AAGCUUCAAAGACUCCGUUUCCUGCGUCUCAACAACAACACCUUGUCAGGAACGAUUCCUAUGAAUUUGACUACCAUUGGAACCUUGCAAGUCCUGGAUCUUUCAAACAACAGACUUACAGGAGAUAUUCCUGUCAAUGGCUCCUUUUCUUUGUUCACUCCCAUCAGUUUUAACAAUAAUCUAUUUAACAAGCUUCCAGUUUCCCCUCCUCCUCCAUUGACUCCAUCGACGCCUUCUCCUUCUAGUGGUAACAGUGCUACCGGCGCUAUUGCUGGGGGGGUUGCUGCUGGAGCUGCUCUGCUGUUUGC
RNAcentral lists this unclassified non-coding RNA (308 nucleotides) under Hevea brasiliensis (rubber tree). Lineage: Eukaryota; Viridiplantae; Streptophyta; Magnoliopsida; Malpighiales; Euphorbiaceae. The record is from RNAcentral.